CCCUUAGAUGUUCUGGGCUGCACGCGCGCUACACUGACGCACCCAACGGGUUUACGACCUUGCCUGGAAAGGUUGGGUAUUCCUACAAAAAUGCGUCGUGGUGGGGACAGAUUACUGCAAUAACUAAUCUUCAACGAGGAAUUCCUAGUAAGCGCGAGUCAUCAGCUCGUGCUGAUUACCUCCCUGCCCUUUGUACACACCGCCCGUCGCUCCUACCGAUUAAGUGAUCCGGUGAAUAGUUCGGACUGCUGCAAUGCUUGGAUCCCGAGAAUUGCGGCGAAAGUUUAGUGAACCUUAUCACUUAGAGGAAGGAGAAGUCGUAACA
This 325-nucleotide ribosomal RNA is filed under the name uncultured eukaryote. RNAcentral describes it as "partial 18S ribosomal RNA". It matches the Rfam family "Eukaryotic small subunit ribosomal RNA", at positions 1470 to 1796 of the family's 1831-position model. The record is from RNAcentral.